Molecule: long non-coding RNA, 340 nt
Organism: Strongylocentrotus purpuratus (purple sea urchin)
Lineage: Eukaryota; Metazoa; Echinodermata; Echinoidea; Camarodonta; Strongylocentrotidae
Exons: 3
Source: RefSeq, a predicted model, not a curated record
UAGUAAGAGUGAUACAAUUCUGGAGCAUUGUUUAAUCGGAGAUAUAGAAAGUCCCUUUUUUUAAUGGAAGUGGUAUUCGUAUCCGAGGUAUAGUCAUUCGGCGGGUUGAGAUUCGCUCAACUCACUUCUCUUGUUUCAGUAGGCAGAGCAACCUGUUUGUUAUUUUAAAACUCUACCAAACACUCACCUUCUAAGCAAAGGCUAAUGACAUUUUAGCACCAUGUUGGUGAGCUCAUCCGUUUGGUCGACAAUCUUCUUAAUCCUAAGCACAUUGUUAACCCUCGGCAGCAGCCAGAGAUGUGGGGGUUCCAUAGAAGCCGGAGCUGGUGUGAUACGCUCU